UACAGAGGUCCCAAGCGUUGUUCGGAUUCAUUGGGCGUAAAGGGUGCGUAGGUGGCGCUGUAAGUCGGGUGUGAAAUCCCUCGGCUUAACCGAGGAAUUGCGCCCAAAACUACUGUGCUCGAGGGAGAUAGAGGUGAGCGGAACUUAGGGUGGAGCGGUGAAAUGCGUAGAUAUCGUUUGGAACGCCAAUGGUGAAAACAGGUAACUGGGAGUGCGCUGACGCUGAGACACGAAAGCCAGGGGAGCGAACGGG
RNAcentral lists this ribosomal RNA (253 nucleotides) under uncultured bacterium. RNAcentral's name for it is "partial 16S ribosomal RNA". It matches the Rfam family "Bacterial small subunit ribosomal RNA", at positions 524 to 776 of the family's 1533-position model. The record is from RNAcentral.